CGAGUUAAUUAAACUUGACCUUUGAUUCUUGUCAAUAUGUUUCUAUCUUCGACACAAAUCAAUCCACCUCAAUUUUAAGUCUAACCCGAUUCGUCUUGAUAUUUAGUUUUGAUUGACUCGUCUCGACUUUUGACAUGUUAAGCUUGUCUCGACCUUUAGCACGUGUUGACCUAUCUCAACCUUUUGCUAAUCCCAACCCUGC
This 202-nucleotide long non-coding RNA is filed under the name Vigna radiata. RNAcentral describes it as "long non-coding RNA (VRAD_LNC002281)". The record is from RNAcentral. Lineage: Eukaryota; Viridiplantae; Streptophyta; Magnoliopsida; Fabales; Fabaceae.